Long non-coding RNA from Oxyura jamaicensis (ruddy duck), 293 nucleotides. RefSeq lists it as uncharacterized. The record is from RefSeq and is a predicted model, not a curated record. NCBI's taxonomy places the organism in Eukaryota, Metazoa, Chordata, Aves, Anseriformes, Anatidae. The transcript is spliced from 3 exons.
CCCUUCCACUUCAAGCACCAUCAGGUGUGCUGUUAAAGGAAGAUGCCUCUGCCUCUGCCACCUGACUGCUGCAAACUGCUGCAAGGAUUGCAGAGGAUUUCAGUCAUGUCUAGGCAAGUGCCUGAGCUUAAGUCUGGAGAGGUCCCAGGAGAUAUUAUUUGACCUGACAUCAUCACAAGCUCCCAAGUUGUCUGAGGCCACAUGAACUGACAAUCUGUAUGGGAAGAUCAGAGUAAAGACAGAAGUCAAGGCUUGUUCUCUGUAUCUAGCUGGGUACAACAACCCUUGCACUG